GCCGGGUGUGGUGGUGUGCGCCUGUAAUCCCAGCUACUUGGGAGGCUGAGGUAGGAGAAUCACUUGAACACAGGAGGCUGAGGUUGCAGUGAGCCAAGAUCGUGCCACUGCACUUCAGCCUGGGCAACAGAGGGAGACCUAGUCUCAG
Molecule: non-coding RNA, 148 nt
Filed under: Papio anubis (olive baboon)
Lineage: Eukaryota; Metazoa; Chordata; Mammalia; Primates; Cercopithecidae
Source: Rfam by way of RNAcentral